AUGCAAGUCGAACGAAACUUCUUUAUCACCGAGUGCUUGCACUCACCGAUAAAGAGUUGAGUGGCGAACGGGUGAGUAACACGUGGGCAACCUGCCCAAAAGAGGGGGAUAACACUUGGAAACAGGUGCUAAUACCGCAUAACCAUAGUUACCGCAUGGUAACUAUGUAAAAGGUGGCUAUGCUACCGCUUUUGGAUGGGCCCGCGGCGCAUUAGCUAGUUGGUGAGGUAAAGGCUUACCAAGGCAAUGAUGCGUAGCCGAACUGAGAGGUUGAUCGGCCACAUUGGGACUGAGACACGGCCCAAACUCCUACGGGAGGCAGCAGUAGGGAAUCUUCCACAAUGGGCGAAAGCCUGAUGGAGCAACGCCGCGUGGGUGAAGAAGGUCUUCGGAUCGUAAAACCCUGUUGUUAGAGAAGAAAGUGCGUGAGAGUAACUGUUCACGUUUCGACGGUAUCUAACCAGAAAGCCACGGCUAACUACGUGCCAGCAGCCGCGGUAAUACGUAGGUGGCAAGCGUUAUCCGGAUUUAUUGGGCGUAAAGGGAACGCAGGCGGUCUUUUAAGUCUGAUGUGAAAGCCUUCGGCUUAACCGGAGUAGUGCAUUGGAAACUGGGAGACUUGAGUGCAGAAGAGGAGAGUGGAACUCCAUGUGUAGCGGUGAAAUGCGUAGAUAUAUGGAAGAACACCAGUGGCGAAAGCGGCUCUCUGGUCUGUAACUGACGCUGAGGUUCGAAAGCGUGGGUAGCAAACAGGAUUAGAUACCCUGGUAGUCCACGCCGUAAACGAUGAAUGCUAAGUGUUGGAGGGUUUCCGCCCUUCAGUGCUGCAGCUAACGCAAUAAGCAUUCCGCCUGGGGAGUACGACCGCAAGGUUGAAACUCAAAGGAAUUGACGGGGGCCCGCACAAGCGGUGGAGCAUGUGGUUUAAUUCGAAGCAACGCGAAGAACCUUACCAGGUCUUGACAUCUUCUGACAAUCCUAGAGAUAGGACUUUCCCUUCGGGGACAGAAUGACAGGUGGUGCAUGGUUGUCGUCAGCUCGUGUCGUGAGAUGUUGGGUUAAGUCCCGCAACGAGCGCAACCCUUAUUGUUAGUUGCCAGCAUUAAGUUGGGCACUCUAGCAAGACUGCCGGUGACAAACCGGAGGAAGGUGGGGAUGACGUCAAAUCAUCAUGCCCCUUAUGACCUGGGCUACACACGUGCUACAAUGGACGGUACAACGAGUCGCAAGACCGCGAGGUUUAGCAAAUCUCUUAAAGCCGUUCUCAGUUCGGAUUGUAGGCUGCAACUCGCCUACAUGAAGUCGGAAUCGCUAGUAAUCGCGGAUCAGCAUGCCGCGGUGAAUACGUUCCCGGGCCUUGUACACACCGCCCGUCACACCAUGAGAGUUUGUAACACCCAAAGCCGGUGGGGUAACCUUUUGGAGCCAGCCGUC
RNAcentral lists this ribosomal RNA (1434 nucleotides) under Ligilactobacillus animalis. Its description in RNAcentral is "partial 16S ribosomal RNA". It matches the Rfam family "Bacterial small subunit ribosomal RNA". Lineage: Bacteria; Bacillati; Bacillota; Bacilli; Lactobacillales; Lactobacillaceae. The record is from RNAcentral.